GACGAACGCUGGCGGCGUGCUUAACACAUGCAAGUCGAACGCUGAAGCUCAGCUUUUGUUGGGUGGAUGAGUGGCGAACGGGUGAGUAACACGUGAGUAACCUGCCCCCUUCUUUGGGAUAACGCCCGGAAACGGGUGCUAAUACUGGAUAUUCACUGGUCUUCGCAUGGGGGUUGGUGGAAAGGGUUUUUCUGGUGGGGGAUGGGCUCGCGGCCUAUCAGCUUGUUGGUGGGGUGAUGGCCUACCAAGGCUUUGACGGGUAGCCGGCCUGAGAGGGUGACCGGUCACAUUGGGACUGAGAUACGGCCCAGACUCCUACGGGAGGCAGCAGUGGGGAAUAUGGCACAAUGGGCGAAAGCCUGAUGCAGCGACGCCGCGGGAGGGAUGGAGGCCUUCGGGUUGUGAACCUCUUUCGCUCAUGGUCAAGCCGCAACAAUGGUUGUGGUGAGGGUAGUGGGUAAAGAAGCGCCGGCUAACUACGUG
RNAcentral lists this ribosomal RNA (483 nucleotides) under uncultured bacterium. RNAcentral describes it as "partial 16S ribosomal RNA". It matches the Rfam family "Bacterial small subunit ribosomal RNA", at positions 28 to 507 of the family's 1533-position model. The record is from RNAcentral.